Molecule: ribosomal RNA, 532 nt
Filed under: uncultured bacterium
Lineage: Bacteria
Description: partial 16S ribosomal RNA
Source: RNAcentral
GGAGUUAGCCGGUGCUUCUUCUGUGAGUGAUGUCCUUCCUGCCGGCUAUUAACCCGCAGGCCUUCUUCCUCACUGAAAGUGCUUUACAACCCGAAGGCCUUCUUCACACACGCGGCAUGGCUGGAUCAGGGUUGCCCCCAUUGUCCAAUAUUCCCCACUGCUGCCUCCCGUAGGAGUCUGGGCCGUGUCUCAGUCCCAGUGUGGCUGAUCAUCCUCUCAGACCAGCUACGGAUCGUCGCCUUGGUGAGCCGUUACCUCACCAACCAGCUAAUCCGACAUAGGCUCAUCCGAUAGCGCGAGGCCCGAAGGUCCCCCGCUUUCCCCCGUAGGGCCGUAUGCGGUAUUAGCCUGGGUUUCCCCAGGUUAUCCCCCACUACCGGGCAGAUUCCUAUGCAUUACUCACCCGUCCGCCGCUCGCCACCAGGGAGCAAGCUCCCCGUGCUGCCGCUCGACUUGCAUGUGUUAGGCCUGCCGCCAGCGUUCAAUCUGAGCCAGAUCAAACACUGACUCGAGCGGCGCGCGACGGACGCGA